RNAcentral lists this long non-coding RNA (2057 nucleotides) under Homo sapiens (human). RNAcentral describes it as "HSALNT0307967". The record is from RNAcentral. Lineage: Eukaryota; Metazoa; Chordata; Mammalia; Primates; Hominidae.
AACAAAUGUUAAGCCCUUUCUCCAUCAGCAUUGGAAAUAAGUUAAAAUACUGUUCAUUUCUCCAUGCCAUUAUUAGAAAACAAUCUUCUAUAAUUUAAAAUCUGAAAUAUUAAGCAAUUUAUGUGAAUUAUUACAAUUAUGUUCUUUUUUAAACAGUCAAACCAAGUUUUUCCUGUCUUGUCUGGGCACAGACAAGCACUUAUGCUGACGGUUUACCGUGACAGCAUGUAGGGUUGGGUCUUCAUUACAAAGAUCUGCCCACUAGCUGAGUACACUGGUGUUUUUCCAUUCACCUCUGCCCAGCAGGACAAGAUGAUGAAAGUACAGAGAACUUGUGGGUCCAGGUUUGUGUCAGAAAGGAGGUUAGUGGCUUGCUUAGGGCCAGGCAGAGGGCACAUUGGAAGGAAUUCUCUGUUCCCGGUGACAGCCCUUGGAAUUGCUGUGCACCCAGAGUUGCGGAGUAAUUUAUUGGCUUCUGAUAACUAUAGUAUUGGAUAACUUCCCAACAUUUUAUUAAAAAUUUUAAACAUAUAGGCAUGUUGAAAGAAUUUAUACUCACCACCUAGAUUUUGCCACUAUCACAUAUCUGUGCAUCCUAUUAAUACAUUUUUAAUUAUUAUUUUUUUGAGACAGAGUUUCUUUUACUCAGGCUGGAUUGCAAUGGUGCAAUCUCAGCUCACUGCAACCUCUGCCUCCAAGAUUGAGGCGAUUCUCCCACCUCAGGCUCCUGAAUAGCUGGGACUACAGAGGGGAGCCACCAUGCCCGGUUAAUUUUUGUAUUUUUGGUAAAGAAGGGGUUUCAUCAUGUUGCCCCAGGCUGGCCUUGAACUCCUGGGCUCAAGUGAUCCUCUGGCCUCAGCCUCCCAAAGUGCUAGGAUUACAGGCAUGAGUCACCGUGCCCAGCCAGCCAUUAAUGCAUUUUUAAUAUAUUUUUAGUCAAUUGCAGACAUCGUACAAUUUUCCCUAAACGUUGCAACAUGCCUAUUCAUUACAGUUCAGUAUUUUUCAGGAUUUUUUUUUUUUGUAAAAUUUACAAAGAAAUGUGGAAAUCUUAGUUGUGCAUUAGUUGAGUUUUAACAAAUACCUAGGCUUUAUCGCAACCUCUAUCAAGAUACAGAACAUUGCUGUCAUUCUAGAAGCCUCUGUAAUGUGCCUUCCCCAGUCAAUCUCUUUUUCCAUGGCCCCAGCAGCCAUCAUUCUUUCAAUACUUUAAAAAACAUUCUUAUCUGAAGGGAAAUUUCAUAUGUGCCAAAGUCAUCUCUAGAUUUCUCCAAGUCUUAACCAUGCCAGAGUACAGCCAAACCUAGCCCUUCAUGCAUCUCAAAUAAAGUUCUAAGAUCUUGGUAUUUUAUUCUUCCCUGUUUCAACUUAGCUCCAACUCUUUUUUUCUUUUUUCCAUCAAGAUUUAAACCUGUCAUCCUUGACAUUUGGGGCAGAAACUGCUGAAAUGAAGGAGGACUUGCCAUCAAAGAACUGGCUGAAAGGAGUUAGCACACCACUCCUCUGCCCUGAACAGUUCUAAGCAAGAGGAGGAGCCUGUGGCAGGGCGUGAUAUGAAGUCCUCAGAGAUAGAGUGCCAAGAGUAGAGGGAGUAUCCUGGAACUUCAGUGUUUGCAGGUCAGUUGCUCAGUUCUUCAGAAGAUAUUGAUUCUUAGGCUCUAAUUUUCUUAAGGUAUGAGCUGAACUGAAGUGCUCUCUCCUCCUUAGGAUUUUGUACUCCAAGGUUGGCAUUCAGAAUCCGCAUAGCCAGAGAGUGCUGUAUACAAGCAGGGCUGUUAGCAUCUGCUCAGCUUCUGAUGAGGCCCAGGAAGCUUUUGGUCUUGGUGGAAGAGAAGAGGAGCCAGCAUAUUACAUGACGAGAGGAAGCAAGAGAGAUACCAGGCUCUUUUAAGCAACCAGUUCUCAUGUGAACGCAUUGCUACUGAGAAAGUGCCAAACCAUUCACGAGGGAUCCACUACCUAGACCCAAACACCUCCCCCUAGGCCCCGUCUCCAACAGCGGGGAUCAUAUUUCAACAUGAGACUUCGAGGAGACAAAUAUCCAAACCAUAUCGCCC